This 76-nucleotide transfer RNA is filed under the name Sphaerodactylus townsendi. Its description in RNAcentral is "tRNA-Val". It matches the Rfam family "tRNA". From Rfam's summary of the family: Transfer RNA (tRNA) molecules are approximately 80 nucleotides in length. Their secondary structure includes four short double-helical elements and three loops (D, anti-codon, and T loops). The record is from RNAcentral. Lineage: Eukaryota; Metazoa; Chordata; Lepidosauria; Squamata; Sphaerodactylidae.
GGGGGUGGGCUGUAGUUCAGUGGUAGAGCAUCUGCUUGACACACAGAAGAUUCUAAUUCAAUCCUUAGCAUCUCCA